Suncus etruscus (white-toothed pygmy shrew) is the source of this 110-nucleotide small nuclear RNA. The record is from RefSeq and is a predicted model, not a curated record. NCBI's taxonomy places the organism in Eukaryota, Metazoa, Chordata, Mammalia, Eulipotyphla, Soricidae.
GUGCUCACUUUAGCAGCGCAUAUACUAAAAUUGGAAUGAUACAGAGAAGAUUAGCAUGGUCUCUUUGCAAAAGUGUAGAAUACUGUUGGUUUAAAAAUCAGAUGAUCUAU